Molecule: transfer RNA, 82 nt
Filed under: Bacteroidota bacterium
Lineage: Bacteria; Pseudomonadati; Bacteroidota
Description: Bacteroidetes bacterium (activated sludge metagenome) tRNA-Leu
Rfam family: tRNA
About the family: Transfer RNA (tRNA) molecules are approximately 80 nucleotides in length. Their secondary structure includes four short double-helical elements and three loops (D, anti-codon, and T loops). Further hydrogen bonds mediate the characteristic L-shaped molecular structure. tRNAs have two regions of fundamental functional importance: the anti-codon, which is responsible for specific mRNA codon recognition, and the 3' end, to which the tRNAs corresponding amino acid is attached (by aminoacyl-tRNA synthetases). tRNAs cope with the degeneracy of the genetic code in two manners: having more than one tRNA (with a specific anti-codon) for a particular amino acid; and 'wobble' base-pairing, i.e. permitting non-standard base-pairing at the 3rd anti-codon position.
Source: RNAcentral
ACCGGAAUGGUGGAACUGGUAGACACGCACGUUUCAGAGGCGUGUGCCGCGAGGUAUGCGGGUUCGAGUCCCGCUUCCGGUA